Molecule: ribosomal RNA, 250 nt
Filed under: uncultured Lachnospiraceae bacterium
Lineage: Bacteria; Bacillati; Bacillota; Clostridia; Lachnospirales; Lachnospiraceae
Description: partial 16S ribosomal RNA
Rfam family: Bacterial small subunit ribosomal RNA
Source: RNAcentral
GACUGAGUGGCGGACGGGUGAGUAACGCGUGGGUAACCUGCCUUGUACAGGGGGAUAACAGUUGGAAACGGCUGCUAAUACCGCAUAAGCGCACAGCAUCGCAUGAUGCAGUGUGAAAAACUCCGGUGGUAUGAGAUGGACUCGCGUCUGAUUAGCUGGUUGGUGAGGUAACGGCCCACCAAGGCGACGAUCAGUAGCCGGCCUGAGAGGGUGAACGGCCACAUUGGGACUGAGACACGGCCCAAACUCC